Molecule: long non-coding RNA, 1342 nt
Filed under: Marmota monax (woodchuck)
Lineage: Eukaryota; Metazoa; Chordata; Mammalia; Rodentia; Sciuridae
Source: RNAcentral
GAAGGAUUCAACCUGCUGAAUGCUCCAAAUAGUCCACAUGACCCAGAUGAGCAAGGUUUCCUCCUUACCACCUCUAUUCUGCCCUAGUCUUCUCUCUCCUUCCUUUUCUUCCUGAAUACUUUUUUUUACCUACUUCUACCAUUUGUCUAUAAAACUGUUACCAGAGUGCAAGCUUUGAUAAAUCAAUGUCUCUCUUUUAUUUUUGUUUUCUUUUUGCUGAAUUUCUCAUACCUGAUAGGCAAGUAAUGAGCUGUGUCCCCAACCAUUUCUUAUUUUUAUUUAAAUGCAGGUUCUCACUAAGUUGCCUGGCUGGCCUCAGAAUUAUGAUCUUCCUGCCUGACAUAUCUUGGUCAUUAGCAUUAGAGAUGUGCACCACUGUACUUUGCAAAGAAAUAAUUAUAUAUGUGUGUUUUUAGUUCAAAUGUCCAGCAUCUGAAACAAUGCAGGCAUACAAUAAGUACUCAAAAAACAAUUGCAUGCUGGGCACAGUGGUGCAUGCCUAUAAUCCCAGUGGCUCAGGAGGCUGAGACAGGAGGAUCAAAGCCAGCCUCAACAAUGGUGAGGCACUAAACAACUGAGACCUGAUUUCUAAAUAAAAAACAAGAAAAUAGUGCUGGGGAUGUGGCUCAGUGGAUGAGUGCCUCUGAGUUCAAUCCUCAGUACCCAUCCCCCCAAAAAAAAUUUCGUGUGGCUGGGCUCAAUUAUAGAGUGCCUAUGCUUAGCAUGAGCAAGCCAUAGUUUCCAUCCCUAGCAAUGCAAAAACAAAGCAAAUGGAUCAAACAAACAAAACCAUUUACAUAAAUGAAUGAUAAGACCCUUUAUCUAGAUCCUGGAAAGUAUUCAAUAAAUGCCAGCCAUUGUUAUGUCUCACAUUAAAAUCAAAUAGGAAUUCUGUGGAUGCAACUGCCCUCUGGCUUCUUUAUCCAGGGUGAAAACCUCAUGGUAACCUUAGUCUCUGCUGUUCCCUGAGCCCACCCUCAGUCAGUUAUCAAAACUUAUCUUAUGGUGCAGAUACAACUGGCUCCUACCUGCUGUUGCCACCUCGGUUGGGGUUCACUCUUAGUGCUCCUCUUCAACCCCAUCACUUCCCUUCAAUCCAUUCUCCACAGUCCAUCUCAGAAAUAGGAGGGUGCCACUCCAAGUGUUCUUAGGAGACAGAACUGAAGUGGUUGGUAUGUAGAUUAAUGUGCUUGCCAAUCUCUGAGCAAGGAUCUCCUUAUUCUUUUCUUUUAAGGUGCUGGGGAUGAGACCCAGGGCCUUGCACAGGCUAGGUAAGCACUCUACCUCAGAGCCACACCCCAAACACUCACCACAGUCUUCAUGUUGCUGGAUAUGACAUUGC